Molecule: long non-coding RNA, 724 nt
Filed under: Ursus maritimus (polar bear)
Lineage: Eukaryota; Metazoa; Chordata; Mammalia; Carnivora; Ursidae
Description: lncRNA (ENSUMAG00000013131.1)
Source: RNAcentral
ACGCUCUCCUGUAACGAUGCUCCUCUCCGCCAGAGCUCUGGCAGGCCGGAGGAGAGAUGAGCUCCUUGACUGAGGCCCCUACAUUGUCUGGCUGUGGGUCUGUCACACUGACCUCAUUCUGAUUACCUGAGGCUGCAGGGAGAAACGCGACUGUCCAUCGUGUUUCUCCAGCACGGUGCCUUGGUCAUACAACCCCGACCAGGUUUCUCCAAGGCCACUCAAGUCCUGAGGACCGUCAGACCGAACUGCACCUCAAAACUCUCCUUUACACCUUCCUCUCCCUCAGCUUCUGAGGCAGUCAUCCAGGUCUGUAAGGGUUUUGUUUAUUGUUCAUUCAUGCGUUGUUUCCCUUCACAUUCUUUUCUUCUUGGACCUUUCCACAGCGACCCCUCCCUUGAAACAGCCUCCUAAUUGUAUUCCCCACUUUCAAUGCCUCCUCCAGUUUAUCCACCCACAGGUUCAUUUUCCUGUGACAACACUUUGAUCAUAUCGCUGCUGCUAAAACUACAUUGUUGAUAGAUGUCUCAGCUUGGCAUUCAGGGAUCUCCACAAUGAGAAUCUCAAUGAGACUAAGAGGCAAACUGGUGCAGUAAAAAGAACUUGACCCUCAGAUGCAAACUGACAUGAGUUCAAACCCUGAUUUUCCCACAUUCUAAUUGUAUACUUCUGAGGCUCAUUUUUUUGGUCUGAAAAAUGGGGGUAAUAAAAUAUAUCUCCGAGGGCA